UCUUGCAAAUGUCUUUCGCAACGUCUUCUCUUUCGGUUUCAGCUAUCUUUCACUUCUUGCUCUUAAUGUUGGACAAUCUACAAAAUAACCUCUCCCAUGUCCUCUCAGAAACACUACUCAAUUUUCAACCACCACCUCAUGUUCCUGUUUUUGGCUUUCUUUGAGUCUGUCCUUCAAGCUGCGUGACUUUGAUUCAUCUACAAUACUCUUUUCAAUAAGCGUUUCCGCAAUAAUGAACUGUGACACUCUUGGUUCCUGGAAAAAAAAAGCAAAAAAAAAAAAGGACUGUCCGAAGAACAGCUGGACUCCAUUGGGACGACGCUGGGACUCAUGACCAGCAUGUGAGGCAAGAGGACAAGGACGCCUGUUAGGAAACACAAGCAGUAUGAAAUAUCCAAGACGAAUUCUUCUGUGUAAAUUUGUGUGUCUGAAUCCAAGAAAAUGCAGUGGGAUUGGUGACAGCUGCCAUUUUGGGAGAAUCCCAAAGGUCAUGUAACAGCUUUGCAAACAAAAGUCGCUUUAAGUUCAGCAUUCACCCACAAAUCCAUUGGACGCACUGAAGACACAUGCAACUUCAAAAGGAGUCAAGCGCAUUUGCUCAGAUGGUGCCAAACACCCUCAGAAAAAUCUGCAUUACAGUAAACUGCUUUCAUCAAGGAAUUAUUAGAAGGAAGUGUUUGCUCCAUUUGAAAAGAUGCCAUGCUCGGAUUGAUUUUUCACAUGCCAAAGAAAGAGCGGGAGAUGAUAGGGAUUCGGCGGAUGAUUUCAAGUGGCCUGCCAAAGACAGACUGCUGGCCUACAUACAUAUUUAAAAAAAGGAUCUCGCAGGUGAAUCAA
Danio aesculapii is the source of this 837-nucleotide long non-coding RNA. RefSeq lists it as uncharacterized. The transcript has 3 exons. Lineage: Eukaryota; Metazoa; Chordata; Actinopteri; Cypriniformes; Danionidae. The record is from RefSeq and is a predicted model, not a curated record.